RNAcentral lists this transfer-messenger RNA (359 nucleotides) under Patescibacteria group. RNAcentral's name for it is "2-12-FULL-37-7b sp001788095 Standard tmRNA". It matches the Rfam family "transfer-messenger RNA". Rfam says of the family: Bacterial tmRNA, also known as 10Sa RNA or SsrA, is named for its dual tRNA and mRNA-like properties. Its role is to liberate the mRNA from a stalled ribosome. To accomplish this part of the tmRNA is used as a reading frame that ends in a translation stop signal. RNAcentral also lists the same sequence under 6 other names. The record is from RNAcentral.
GGGGAUGACUUGGAUUCGACGCAGAGAUUGCACUUUUAUAAACGGCUAGAGCGGAUCUAUCCGCAAAUAGAAAACCUAAACGCAAGAAACACACUUGCUGACGCUUUCGGCAGCAGAGAGGCUCUGGCUUACCAACCUCUUUACGCCUAAGCUCACUCUGCCUCGCUUUCUCCUGAUUCAAGCGGGGUAAGGGGUUAACCAAUCGGGAUAGGUUGUACAGGUUGUUCGGUGAGCUGUACGACUGAUAACAACCACCGGAGCUUUGUCUCGACACUGCUUGCAGUGACGGACUAUCUCUAGCUAAACGUUUUUAAAAGUAGCCUUUGCGGACCCGGGUUCAACUCCCGGCAUCUCCACAC